RNAcentral lists this ribosomal RNA (727 nucleotides) under uncultured endophytic bacterium. Its description in RNAcentral is "bacterial SSU rRNA". It matches the Rfam family "Bacterial small subunit ribosomal RNA", at positions 771 to 1504 of the family's 1533-position model. The record is from RNAcentral.
AACAGGAUUAGAUACCCUGGUAGUCCACGCCCUAAACGAUGUCUACUAGUUGUCGGGUCUUAAUUGACUUGGUAACGCAGCUAACGCGUGAAGUAGACCGCCUGGGGAGUACGGUCGCAAGAUUAAAACUCAAAGGAAUUGACGGGGACCCGCACAAGCGGUGGAUGAUGUGGAUUAAUUCGAUGCAACGCGAAAAACCUUACCUACCCUUGACAUGGUCGGAAUUCUGCUGAGAGGCGGAAGUGCUCGAAAGAGAACCGAUACACAGGUGCUGCAUGGCUGUCGUCAGCUCGUGUCGUGAGAUGUUGGGUUAAGUCCCGCAACGAGCGCAACCCUUGUCAUUAGUUGCUACGAAAGGGCACUCUAAUGAGACUGCCGGUGACAAACCGGAGGAAGGUGGGGAUGACGUCAAGUCCUCAUGGCCCUUAUGGGUAGGGCUUCACACGUCAUACAAUGGUACAUACAGAGGCCGCCAACCCGCGAGGGGGAGCUAAUCCCAGAAAGUGUAUCGUAGUCCGGAUUGUAGUCUGCAACUCGACUGCAUGAAGUUGGAAUCGCUAGUAAUCGCGGAUCAGCAUGUCGCGGUGAAUACGUUCCCGGGUCUUGUACACACCGCCCGUCACACCAUGGGAGCGGGUUUUACCAGAAGUAGGUAGCUUAACCGCAAGGAGGGCGCUUACCACGGUAGGAUUCGUGACUGGGGUGAAGUCGUAACAAGGUAACCGUA